GUGAGGAAUAUUGGACAAUGGGCGCAAGCCUGAUCCAGCCAUGCCGCGUGCAGGAAGACGCAUCUAUGGUGUGUAAACUGCUUUUGUACGGGAAGAAACACUCCCUCGUGAGGGAGCUUGACGGUACCGUAAGAAUAAGGAUCGGCUAACUCCGUGCCAGCAGCCGCGGUAAUACGGAGGAUCCAAGCGUUAUCCGGAAUCAUUGGGUUUAAAGGGUCCGUAGGCGGUUUAAUAAGUCAGUGGUGAAAGCCCAUCACUCAACGAUGGAACGGCCAUUGAUACUGUUAGACUUGAAUUACAAGGAAGUAACUAGAAUAUGUAGUGUAGCGGUGAAAUGCUUAGAUAUUACAUGGAAUACCAAUUGCGAAGGCAGGUUACUACUUGUGGAUUGACGCUGAUGGACGAAAGCGUGGGGAGCGAACAGGAUUAGAAACCCGAGUAGUCC
RNAcentral lists this ribosomal RNA (445 nucleotides) under uncultured bacterium. RNAcentral's name for it is "partial 16S ribosomal RNA". It matches the Rfam family "Bacterial small subunit ribosomal RNA", at positions 354 to 796 of the family's 1533-position model. The record is from RNAcentral.